Molecule: long non-coding RNA, 2994 nt
Organism: Branchiostoma floridae (Florida lancelet)
Lineage: Eukaryota; Metazoa; Chordata; Leptocardii; Amphioxiformes; Branchiostomatidae
Exons: 4
Source: RefSeq, a predicted model, not a curated record
CCUGGUUCACCAUCUGUUGUAAUUACUGUUUUAUGUCAUGGUCAGUGGUUGUCGGGAACCUAGACCAUUACAUAAUCUGCUUUGUGUCGCUCUCUUGGGUCCCGAACCAAGAGAACAACACAGGCCAGAAAGGACGACAGGUGGCUGAAGAACCUAUUUGAUAUUAGUAGUUAAUUCCUGUAGAAAUACUUGACUUCUCGGCGUAUACACAGUCACAAAAACCGAAUCAGCCAUUCAUCGGCCCUGUAUACCUCAGAAACAGACCGAAGCAGGCAUAGCUCUCGGAAUUUAAACUGAAACAAACGUCAACAUUACUUGGGAUUUCAUUGAAGCACACUCAAUCGUUACUACACAUAAAUUCAUCCCAUCGUUUCCAUGAUAAAUCUAGAACGGAAAUUUUAAUCACAAACCAAGUUAACUUUCUGUGCUUUAACUUAAGUAUAAGGUAUAUUUCCCAUAUUUCUGAACAGAAAUGAUAAUUUUCGUUUUGUCUUUUCUACCGAGAAUCAUCGCACCGUAAGAAGAAAUGUCCGGACGUGGAACGGGAGGCGAGGACUGACGAAGGAAGGUAGCGGACAUGACCGAAUGGAGAUUCGCAGUCUUUUAACACAUAUGGCAAGGAUCUUAGUGAUGCCAUCAAGCCCGGAUCAACUGGACCUGCAAUGUUCAAGUUAAGUACAUAAUAUGUUUAUUCUGGGGUUAAGAUGGUAACAUCUUGCAGAUAUGAUCUGGGACUAACUUGUCAUAGGCACGAUAGGAAGUAACUGACUUGAGUGUGUUUUGUUGACAUACCGAGUGAUGUUUCUGGUAGAUAUUCGGACGUGCAUUUUGUAAAUGGAGACUCCUUUUGCAGUCAAGGCUUCAGUCCGUUUCCGUGGUGUACAUGCCUGGUGUGUGGCUGAUUUUGGUUUCUGUUGGUUUCUGUGACUGUUGAUGGCCGGGAUCGCCACUUAUUGUACGUAAAUUCUGUUGUUUACAAAACAGGGUCUAACCUGGUUCACCAUCUGUUGUAAUUUCUGUUUUAUGUCAUGGUCAGUGGUUGUCGGGAACCUAGACCAUUACAUAAUCUGCUUUGUGUCGCUCUCUUGGGUCCCGAACCAAGAGAACAACACAGGCCAGAAAGGACGACAGGUUGUUGGAAAAACCUAUUUGAUAUUAGUAGUUAAUUCCUGUUGACAUAAUCGACUUCUCGGCGUAGACACAGUCACAGAAACCGAAUCAGCCAUUCAUCGGGCUUGUAUGCCGCAGAAACAGACUGAAGCAGCCAUAGCAAUCGAAAUUUAAACCGAAACAAACGUCAACAUUACUUGGGAUUUCAUCAAAGCACACUCAAUCGUUACUACACAUAAAUUCAUCCCACUGUUUCCAUGAUAAAUCUAGAACGGAAAUUUUAAUCACAAACCAAGUUAACUUUCUGUACUUUAACUUAAGUAUAAGGUAUAUUUCCUAUAUUUCUGAGCCAAGAUAAUAAUUUUCGUCUUGUCUUUUCUACCGAGGAUCAUCGCACCGUAAGAAGAAAGGUCCGGACGUGGAACGGGAGGCGAGGACUGACGAAGGAAGGUACCGGACGUGAUUGAAUGGAGAUUCAGAGUCUUCUAACACAUAUGACAAGGACUUAUGUGUGGACAGCUAAGCUGUUAGGCAGCUCAUGUGUGCAUACGUCCUGUCCCUGAUUUUGAACCUGUUCGCAAGUAUUGGAGGAAGGAAGCAGACAAGCAGACCGUUAACUGAGUUAACACGACUGUACAACAAGUUUGGAAUGAGACAUCUCUCAGCAGCUUCCAGUGUCUUAUCGGUGCCAACUGCAGAUGCAAGGCUCAUGUUUGGACUUAUCCUGGUGAGAGGCUGCCUGAUGCCAUCUCCACGGUGACGUCCAGAAAGAUGCACUCAGGACUUCAGCCCGCUUUUGUGCUGUACAGGCCCGAUGUGUGACUGAUCUGGUUUCUGUGGCUGUGUCGAUGGCCCUGAUCGUAUUCAACCUGUUACUGUAAAAUCUUAUCUUUAUAAAACAGGAACUUUCCUGGUUAAUCAUUAUCCGUAGUAAUUUCUGUUUUAUGUCGUGGUCAGUAGUUGCCGGGAACCUGGAUCAUUACAUAAUCUGCCUUGUGUCGUUAUAUUGGAUCCCGAGCCAAGACAACAACACAGGCCAGAAAGGACGACAGGUGCUUAAAAAUCUCAUUCUAUAUUUGGUCCUUUAGAAACACUCGACUUCUCGGUAUCAACACAAUCACAGAAACUGAAUCAAUCCAAACAGAAUGCAAAGUGUGCCAUCCUACAGCCAUCAUCUAUAUCACGAGGCUAGAUACAUGUAGUUAAGCUUGAUCGAGUAAAUUUGGAGUCUGAUUUACAUUUUGGUCUCGUCUUGCUUUUUGGAGAUGUAGUGCUGUUUAUUCGCCUUUUGUAAGCAGUCUUUGUUUUGAUUGUAUUAAUCAUAUCAUACCAUUCCAGUACAGGGUUUGGCUAAAACUGAAAUGAUUUUGUUUUGUUUUGUUAUUUCAUAGACUUUGCUUUGUGCAUUUCCCCUGUAUUUUUGUACAUAAGUGGUCUACAGGUCAGUUAAGUAGAUGUCAACAUUGUCCGUUUAUUGUUUAGAGGUUGUUUGUAGCCUUUAAAAAUCAGUCCUUUGGAAAUUUCCCUACCAAAGGCUUAGGCUGACGCUUACACUAACACAAACACACACACACAAACUAACAGACUAACCGCACCAUACAUAUACACUAACAGGCUAAUGCAACAUCUUCUUGCAACACUAACAAUCAGCUCAAAGCCUUAACUUUAAGAACAGAAAAGCUUUCUAUGAUUCUUCACGUACAAAGGUUCCAAGCUACCAUUAUACCAUGUACUGGUAAUGUUGACACUUACUGAUUCUAGGCUCUGUUGGCUACCGUGCUUAGCAAAAUGGAUAGAUGUUACGCUUUAGUUCAAUCUAUUUAGUUUUAGUGCCAGAGCAAUUUUUUUAUUGUGUUGAUUUGAGAGAUGUACAUAUUUGUACAC